Molecule: ribosomal RNA, 253 nt
Filed under: uncultured bacterium
Lineage: Bacteria
Description: partial 16S ribosomal RNA
Rfam family: Bacterial small subunit ribosomal RNA
Source: RNAcentral
UACGAAGGGUGCAAACGUUAUUCGGAAUCACUGGGCGUAAAGGGUGCGUAGACGGUAUGUUAAGUUCGUUGUUAAAGGCUCCGGCCCAACCGGAGUAUUGCGAUGAAAACUGGCACACUAGAGGGUGAGAGUGAGAAGUGGAAUUCCCGGAGUAGCGGUAAAAUGCGUGGAUCUCGGGAGGAACACCAAUGGCGAAGGCAGCUUCUUGGCUCAUACCUGACGUUGAGGCACGAAAGCGUGGGGAGCAAACAGG